CAAGAAAACGCUUCCUAUCCACA
RNAcentral lists this microRNA (23 nucleotides) under Ananas comosus (pineapple). RNAcentral's name for it is "microRNA s0423_c50a". The record is from RNAcentral. Lineage: Eukaryota; Viridiplantae; Streptophyta; Magnoliopsida; Poales; Bromeliaceae.